GCGGACGGGUGAGUAAUACUUAUCUUACCUGCCAUUUAGUGGGGGAUAAAUACCGCAUGUUCUGGCUUCGGCCAGCAAAGGAAGUUUUCGAACUUUCGCUAAACGAUGGGGAUAAGUCGCAUCAGCUAGUUGGUGGGGUAAAGGCUCACCAAGGCAAAGACGCGUAGCCGGGCUGAGAGGCUGAUCGGCCACAGGGGAACUGAGACAAGGUCCCCACUCCUACGGGAGGCAGCAUUGGGGAAUCGUGGGCAAUGGGGGCAACCCUGACCACGCGAUACUACGUGAAGGAGGAAGGUCUACGGAUUGUAAACUUCUAUGGGUAGCAAUAUCCUGAAAAAGUCACGACUAACUACGUGCCAGCAGCCGCGGUAAU
This 373-nucleotide ribosomal RNA is filed under the name uncultured bacterium. RNAcentral describes it as "bacterial SSU rRNA". It matches the Rfam family "Bacterial small subunit ribosomal RNA", at positions 98 to 524 of the family's 1533-position model. The record is from RNAcentral.